AGUGAACGCUGGCGGUAGGCCUAACACAUGCAAGUCGAACGGCAGCACAGUAAGAGCUUGCUCUUACGGGUGGCGAGUGGCGGACGGGUGAGGAAUACAUCGGAAUCUACUUUUUCGUGGGGGAUAUCGUAGGGCAACUUAUGCUAAUACCGCAUACGACCUACGGGUGAUAGCAGGGGAUCUUCGGACCUUGCGCGAUUGAAUGAGCCGCUGUCGGAUUAGCUAGUUGGCGGGGUAAAGGCCCACCAAGGCGACGACGCGUAGCUGGUCUGAGAGGAUGAUCAGCCACACUGGAACUGAGACACGGUCCAGACUCCUACGGGAGGCAGCAGUGGGGAAUAUUGGACAAUGGGCGCAAGCCUGAUCGAGCAAUGCCGGGUGGGUGAUGAAGGCCUUCGGGUCGUAAAUCCCUUUUGUUAGGAAAGAAAAGCAGCAGGUUAAUACCCCGCUGUUCUGACGGUACCUAAAGAGUAAGCACCGGCUAACUACGUG
RNAcentral lists this ribosomal RNA (492 nucleotides) under uncultured bacterium. Its description in RNAcentral is "partial 16S ribosomal RNA". It matches the Rfam family "Bacterial small subunit ribosomal RNA", at positions 29 to 507 of the family's 1533-position model. The record is from RNAcentral.